RNAcentral lists this ribosomal RNA (438 nucleotides) under uncultured bacterium. Its description in RNAcentral is "partial 16S ribosomal RNA". It matches the Rfam family "Bacterial small subunit ribosomal RNA", at positions 339 to 795 of the family's 1533-position model. The record is from RNAcentral.
CUACGGGUGGCACCAGUGAGGAAUAUUGCACAAUGGGGGAAACCCUGAUGCAGCAACGCCGCGUGGAGGAUGACGCAUUUCGGUGUGUAAACUCCUUUUAUCUGUCAAGAAAAUGACGGUAGCAUAUGAAUAAGCACCGGCUAACUCCGGCCAGCAGCCGCGGUCAUACGGAGGGUGCAAGCGUUAUUCGGAAUCACUGGGCGUAAAGGACGCGUAGGCGGGUUUUUAAGUCAGGUGUGAAAUCCUACAGCUUAACUGUAGAACUGCACUUGAAACUACUGACCUAGAGUAUGGGAGGGGGAGGUGGAAUUAGUGGUGUAGGGGUAAAAUCCGUAGAUAUCACUAGGAAUACCUAAAGCGAAGGCGAUCUCCUGGAACAUUACUGACGCUAAGGCGUGAAAGCGUGGGGAGCAAACAGGAUUAGAUACCCUCGUAGUC